RNAcentral lists this ribosomal RNA (197 nucleotides) under uncultured bacterium. RNAcentral describes it as "partial 16S ribosomal RNA". It matches the Rfam family "Bacterial small subunit ribosomal RNA", at positions 335 to 524 of the family's 1533-position model. The record is from RNAcentral.
ACUCCUACGGGAGGCAGCAGUGGGGAAUUUUGGACAAUGGGCGAAAGCCUGAUCCAGCCAUUCCGCGUGCAGGAUGAAGGCCCUCGGGUUGUAAACUGCUUUUGUACAGAACGAAAAGGUUUCUACUAAUACUAGGAGCUCAUGACGGUACUGUAAGAAUAAGCACCGGCUAACUACGUGCCAGCAGCCGCGGUAAU